Molecule: non-coding RNA, 348 nt
Organism: Sorex araneus (European shrew)
Lineage: Eukaryota; Metazoa; Chordata; Mammalia; Eulipotyphla; Soricidae
Source: the annotation of a RefSeq genome assembly
AUGAGGGCCCCUGUGCAUCUCCUCAGCUUCCUGCUGCUCUGGCUCCCGGGUGCCAGAUGUAAUAUCCAGAUGACCCAGCCUCCAUACCUGUCUGCAUCUCUGGAAGACAAAGUCACCAUCACCUGCAAGGCCAGUCAGAACAUUGACAGAUAUUUAGCCUGGUAUCAGCAGAAACCAGGAAAAGCCCCCAGGUGCCUGAUCUAUAGGGCAAGCAAUUUAGGACCAGACGUCCCUUCCCGGUUCAGUGGCAGUGGAUCUGGGACAGAUUACACUCUCACCAUCAGCAGCUUCAAGGCUGAGGAUGCUGCCACUUAUUACUGCCAACAAGGUUAUCUUCUCCCACAGUGA